CACUCUGGGACAAGCCCUGGGGACCGGGUCUAAUACCGGAUAACACUUCUUCGGGCAUCUGAAGAGGUUAAAAGCUCCGGCGGUGAAGGAUGAGCCCGCGGCCUAUCAGCUUGUUGGUGGGGUAGUGGCCUACCAAGGCGACGACGGGUAGCCGGUCUGAGAGGGCGACCGGCCACACUGGGACUGAGACACGGCCCAACUCCUACGGGAGGCACUAGUGGGGAAUAUUGCACAUGGGCGAAAGCCUGAUGCACGGCGCCGCGUGAGGGAUGACGGCCUUCGGGUUGUAAACUUCUUUCG
RNAcentral lists this ribosomal RNA (300 nucleotides) under Streptomyces albidochromogenes. Its description in RNAcentral is "bacterial SSU rRNA". It matches the Rfam family "Bacterial small subunit ribosomal RNA", at positions 134 to 438 of the family's 1533-position model. The record is from RNAcentral. Lineage: Bacteria; Bacillati; Actinomycetota; Actinomycetes; Kitasatosporales; Streptomycetaceae.